GGCCCAGUAGCGGAUGGUCCGUGCCUGCUUUGAUUGGUGUCCCUCGAAUAAGGCUCUAAACGCAGGAAUCGCUCGUUCGAUUCGAGCCUGGGCCU
Molecule: non-coding RNA, 95 nt
Organism: Mycena latifolia
Lineage: Eukaryota; Fungi; Basidiomycota; Agaricomycetes; Agaricales; Mycenaceae
Source: the annotation of a GenBank genome assembly